UCAGGGGUAGGGGAGCGUUGUAUGCGGAUUGAAGUUGGACCGGAAGGACUGGUGGACUGCAUACAAGUGAGAAUGCCGGUAUGAGUAACGAAAAGAUCAGUGAGAAUCUGAUCCGCCGAAAGCCCAAGGUUUCCUGAGGAAGGUUCGUCCGCUCAGGGUAAGUCGGGACCUAAGGCGAGGCCGAAAGGCGUAGUCGAAGGACAACAGGUUGAAAUUCCUGUACCACCGUAAUCCGUUAGGAGUGAUGGGGUGACGCAGGAGGGUAGUGACGCGAGCUGAUGGAUGCUCGUCCAAGCAGUGAGGCUGAUGUGUAGGCAAAUCCGCACAUCGAAAGGCUGGGCUGUGAUGGGGAGGGAAAAUUUACAGUACCGAAGGUCAUGAUCUCACACUGCCAAGAAAAGCCUCUAACCAGGAGAAGGUGCCCGUACCGCAAACCGACACAGGUAGGCGAGAAGAGAAUUCUAAGGCGCGCGGAAGAACUCUCGUUAAGGAACUCGGCAAAAUGACCCCGUAACUUCGGGAGAAGGGGUGCCCCGGUAGUGUGAAUAGCACGAGGGGGCCGCAGUGAAAAGGCCCAAGCGACUGUUUAGCAAAAACACAGGUCUGUGCGAAGCCGCAAGGCGAAGUAUACGGGCUGACGCCUGCCCGGUGCUGGAAGGUUAAGGGGAGUGGUUAGGGGCAACCCGAAGCUAUGAACCGAAGCCCCAGUAAACGGCGGCCGUAACUAUAACGGUCCUAAGGUAGCGAAAUUCCUUGUCAGGUAAAUUCUGACCCGCACGAAUGGCGUAACGACUUGGGCGCUGUCUCAACGAGAGAUCCGGUGAAAUUUUAAUACCUGUGAAGAUGCAGGUUACCCGCGACAAGACGGAAAGACCCCAUGGAGCUUUACUGCAGCUUGAUAUUGGACUUUGAUACGAUUUGUACAGAAUAGGUGGGAGCCUAGGAAGCCGGAGCGCCAGCUUCGGUGGAGGCGCCGUUGGGAUACCACCCUGAUCGUGUCGGAGUUCUAACCUGGUACCGUGAUCCGGUACGGGGACAGUGUCAGGCGGGCAGUUUGACUGGGGCGGUCGCCUCCUAAAGAGUAACGGAGGCGCCCCAAGGUUCCCUCAGAAUGGUUGGAAAUCAUUCGAAGAGUGCAAAGGCAAAAGGGAGCUUGACUGCGAGACUGACAAGUCGAGCAGGGACGAAAGUCGGGCUUAGUGAUCCGGUGGUACCGCAUGGAAGGGCCAUCGCUCAACGGAUAAAAGCUACCCUGGGGAUAACAGGCUUAUCUCCCCCAAGAGUCCACAUCGACGGGGAGGUUUGGCACCUCGAUGUCGGCUCAUCGCAUCCUGGGGCUGAAGUAGGUCCCAAGGGUUGGGCUGUUCGCCCAUUAAAGCGGUACGCGAGCUGGGUUCAGAACGUCGUG
RNAcentral lists this ribosomal RNA (1408 nucleotides) under Paenibacillus sp. 79R4. RNAcentral's name for it is "partial 23S ribosomal RNA". It matches the Rfam family "Bacterial large subunit ribosomal RNA", at positions 1222 to 2623 of the family's 2925-position model. The record is from RNAcentral. Lineage: Bacteria; Bacillati; Bacillota; Bacilli; Caryophanales; Paenibacillaceae.